Long non-coding RNA from Athalia rosae (coleseed sawfly), 468 nucleotides. RefSeq lists it as uncharacterized. Lineage: Eukaryota; Metazoa; Arthropoda; Insecta; Hymenoptera; Athaliidae. The transcript is spliced from 3 exons. The record is from RefSeq and is a predicted model, not a curated record.
UUCUUCAAGGUCACAUCGUUAUUUUUAUACAUAAUUGGAUCGGAUCAACGUUGUCCAUUUUUUCCUACCGAAUCGGCGAUUCAGAAGAUUGAAUAAAUUUACCAUCCCCCAUUACGCAUACCUGCACAUUUGUUAAGAAGAUGAAAAAAGAAAAAUGAAUAAAUAAAAUUUCUUCACACCCGCAGAUGGUGCAGGGUGCAUUCGUUCGAAGCGAAACUAAAAAAAAAUAAAAUAAAAGAAGAAAAUGAAGAAGAAAAUAAGAAGUAUUCACAUAGCCCGUACCAGCUAAGGCGGCGGAACUCACUGUGCCUAGUCAUCGCCCAGCAGUCCCCAUGAGAAAAUGACUCGGUGACCACCUAUGUGACUCUCGUCUGCGACGCGCAAGGGAUAUGGGUACACACCACAUGUAAUACAUAUCGACUAUACAGGGUGAGAGGAUGGAAAAAAAAAAAAAAAACUGUGAUUUGG